AGCCAUGCAUGUGUGAGUUCAACUGAACAUAGUGAAACCGCGGACGGCUCAGUAAAUCAGUCUGAAUCCAUCGAAUGGUGAUUCCAAUAAGGAUAUCUCAAGUAACCCUUGAGCUAAUACUUGGUACCAUCCCUUUGUGGAUGUUUAACUCUGGUCUCUAUCCGGCCGCACCUGAGACGUGUGGUGCCAUAGGAAGUGUAACAGUAGAGGUUUCGAUCCCGCUUCGAAUACGACGGGACGCAAUCACGGAAUGUCUGACCUAUCAAUUAGGGACGGUAGUGUAUUGGACUACCAUGGUUCUGACGGGUGACGGGGAAUCAGGGUUCUAUUCCGGAGAGGCAGCCUAAGAAACGGCUACUACACCUAAGGGAGGCAGCAGGCGCGCAAAUUACCCAAUACUAGAUUAGUGAGGUAGUGACGAGAAAUAACAAUACAUCACUUUUGUGUUGUAAUUGGAAUGACAGUGAAUUAAAGUCUCUAUGAAGGAGCAAGUGGAGGGCAAGUCUGGUGCCAGCAGCCGCGGUAAUACCAGCUUCCACAAGCAUAUGCAUAAGUUGCUGCGUUUAGAAAGCUCGUAGUUGGUGCUGUUACGGGAGCCGCAACUGGUCACUGAUGUGCCACGUGGUGCCUGUAUCUGUGUGCCUCCGGCGUGUUGCACUUAAUUGUGUGAUGCACUGGAGACAGUUUUACCUAGAAUAAAUCAGGGUGUUCAAAGCAGCCUUUGGGUAUGAAUAUUGGAGCAUGGAAUAAUAGAACAGGACUGCCGACUGUUUUAUGGGUGUUUUGGUAUGGCGAUAAUGGUCAACAAAAUCAAUUGGGGGUGUUUGUAUUGCUGCGUCAGAGGUGAAAUUCUUGGAUCGCAGCAAGACAGUCUACUGCGAAAGCAUUUGCCAAAAGUGUUUUUACUUAUCAAGAACGAAAGUUGGAGUAUUGAAGAGGAUUAGAUACCCUCGUAAUUCUAACCAUAAACUAUUCAUACUCGACUUGUGCUAGAUCAAACGUGUUCCAGCAUGAGUCAUCUGGGAAACUAAAGUCUUUCUGUUACGGGGGUAGUAUGGUUGCAAAAUCGAAACUUAAAGGAAUUGACGGAAGGGCACCACCAGGAGUGGAGCCUGCGGCUUAAUUCGACUCAACACGGGGAAACUCACCAGGUCCAGACAUGGUUAAGAUUGACAGACUAGAUAUUCAUCAUGAUACCUUGGGUGGUGGUGCAUGGCCGUUCUUAGUUAGUGGAGUGCUCUGUCUGGUUGAUUCCGAUAACGAACGAGACCUUUUUCUACUGAAUAGCGUCGCCGGGUUGGCUUGUUACGCUACUAAGAGAGACCAAGCGGAUUCUUUACUGUUUGGAAGUUGGGCUAUAACAGGUCUGUGAUGCCCUUAGAUGUCCUGGGCUGCACGCGCGCUACACUGAGUAUAACAAUGCGAGUACUUUUGUCCGAAAGGGACUGGGAAACCGUUGAAAUAUUUCACAUUCUUGGGAUCGAUUUCUGGAAUUUCGAUUCGUGAACGAGGAAUUCCUAGUAAGUGCCAGUAAGUAUCUGGUGCUGAUUACGUCCCUGCCCUUUGUACACACCGCCCGUCGCUACUACUGAUUGGGUGUUUGAGCAAGUUUCGUGGACGUCCUAGCUGCUUUUAGUGGCUGUGGAUGAAAGCAAAGCGAGUUCAGGCGUCUA
This 1673-nucleotide ribosomal RNA is filed under the name Aphanostoma finkei. Its description in RNAcentral is "SSU rRNA". It matches the Rfam family "Eukaryotic small subunit ribosomal RNA". The record is from RNAcentral. Lineage: Eukaryota; Metazoa; Xenacoelomorpha; Acoela; Convolutidae.